GGAACUGCCUGAUGGAGGGGGAUAACUACUGGAAACGGUAGCUAAUACCGCAUAACGUCGCAAGACCAAAGAGGGGGACCUUCGGGCCUCUUGCCAUCAGAUGUGCCCAGAUGGGAUUAGCUAGUAGGUGGGGUAACGGCUCACCUAGGCGACGAUCCCUAGCUGGUCUGAGAGGAUGACCAGCCACACUGGAACUGAGACACGGUCCAGACUCCUACGGGAGGCAGCAUG
RNAcentral lists this ribosomal RNA (231 nucleotides) under uncultured bacterium. RNAcentral's name for it is "partial 16S ribosomal RNA". It matches the Rfam family "Bacterial small subunit ribosomal RNA", at positions 121 to 353 of the family's 1533-position model. The record is from RNAcentral.